This 253-nucleotide ribosomal RNA is filed under the name uncultured prokaryote. RNAcentral's name for it is "partial 16S ribosomal RNA". It matches the Rfam family "Bacterial small subunit ribosomal RNA", at positions 524 to 776 of the family's 1533-position model. The record is from RNAcentral.
UACGGGGGGUGCGAGCGUUAAUCGGAAUUACUGGGCGUAAAGGGUGCGUAGGUGGUUUGAUAAGUUAGCUGUGAAAUUUCCGGGCUCAACCUGGAAAGGUCAGCUAAGACUGUUGGACUGGAGUAUAGGAGAGGGUAGUGGAAUUUCCGGUGUAGCGGUGAAAUGCGUAGAGAUCGGAAGGAACACCAGUGGCGAAGGCGGCUACCUGGCCUAAUACUGACACUGAGGCACGAAAGCGUGGGGAGCAAACAGG